GCCCCAGUAGUGUAGUGGCCUAUCACGGAGCCCUGUCGAGGCUUCGACCCGGGUUCGACUCCCGGCUGGGGCG
RNAcentral lists this transfer RNA (73 nucleotides) under Candidatus Woesearchaeota archaeon. Its description in RNAcentral is "tRNA-Asp". It matches the Rfam family "tRNA". Rfam says of the family: Transfer RNA (tRNA) molecules are approximately 80 nucleotides in length. Their secondary structure includes four short double-helical elements and three loops (D, anti-codon, and T loops). The record is from RNAcentral. Lineage: Archaea; Nanobdellati; Candidatus Woesearchaeota.